Molecule: long non-coding RNA, 3723 nt
Organism: Dermacentor andersoni
Lineage: Eukaryota; Metazoa; Arthropoda; Arachnida; Ixodida; Ixodidae
Source: RefSeq, a predicted model, not a curated record
CCUUGUCAAACUGCGUGCUCCGACAUACCUGGUUGCAAGCAAAUACCAAUAGAUUUUAUAAUUAAUCCUGACGACCCGUUCAAUGAACCUGUCCACUUUCGGCCGCUCUUCACCACACUGUUUUUGGACGAGGUCGAGCAGCAUGUCGUCUUUGCUGCCAGACGAACUUGAAGAAUGCUCAUCGAUUGCGGCAACUAGCAGCGCUUCCUUUCUCAUUGUCGACAAAUCCACUAGCUAACUCCGUCAACUCCGUUGCAACGUACCGCAGCUAUCGGGCCAGAGCGUCCGCGGUUCUGCAGUCGGCAGUACGCGCGCGUCGCGCGUCCCGCAGUGCUUGCUGGGAUUGCACUCCGGCGCACCGCCGAUUUUCGCGGUGCGAGACGGGGCAACGGAAAACUGCUCCAACAGGGUGCGCUUCCGGUGAUCGAGGAUGGUCAGUGCGCACCGGUGCGGUUGAUCGAGGAUGAAAGUGCGCACCAAGGCGCCCCGGUGCGCACCGGUGCGGGUGAUCGAGGACGCUAUUAGUUUCCUUCCUCCGUGAUCGCCCCCGAGGGCUCCGUGGUCGCUGCGCAUGCGUUAGUUGAGAGAAGGUGAGAAAGGAGGACAAGUUGGCUUUACCGGAUGUGACGUCACAUUGUUGUUUGUUUUUGCUUUUAUGAAAUAACUACUCUCGAACUCAGACGGCAUGGCUCGCGUCUCGUUCGCGCGCGUACGUAUGGAUGUGGUCCGCUUUUAGUUUUUGGCGAAUGCUUAAUGGAUGUGGUCCGCUUUUAGUUUUUGGCGAAUGCUUAUUCAAGUUGCGGACGCUGCGGUGGGCCAGGGCUUGAUGACAUUUGUUGCCCAGUUGCUGGUGCUACCGCGACGUACUUGGAACAACGCUUCUGCUUAUUUCCUCUGCCUGCACCUUAUAUUUGUUGUGUUUAUCGAGACCUGGCCUGUCUCUGGCUCGUUGAAGACAAAUGGACACAAGUACUGGUUGCUGUUGGUUUGUUUGGUUUGCUCAGUCUGAGCGUGCACGCCAAAAGCCGAUGCGUCUUGCAACCAUUCGCCAGACUUCCCACUACUGCUGCAACGCCAACGUGUGAAGAUCAACCCACACAGCAGCAUGCGUAGCCAUCGGAGGAUGUGGUGCAAAUCAUUGACGUGAACUGGAUGCGAUGGCGCCUGCAUUUCUGUUUGCCUAUCCCUGAUGCUACAGCAUUUUCAGUCCCCUUCUUACAAGCCAUCAUUCACCAGGAACUUGAAAACAUUGGCUUACAUUCUGUCUGUGCUAUUGCCAAUCCCAGAGCUAACAAACGCCCUUCUACUAUUUUUGCUCCACCCCGACGCUUCUCUCCGCGUUAUCGCAACCCGACUGAGUAGAGAACUGCCGAUAUGUUUCACCUGCUGCCGCAUUGGUCAUGUCGCCUGAUACUGUCAGAGACCUGGAUUCGAGACCUGUUCAGAGACCUGGAUUGGGAAGAAUUGGGGAUAAGAGUUAGUGAAUAAUACCUUAGUUACUUGCGAUUCGCUGAUGAUAUUGCCUUGCUUAGUAACUCAUGGGACCAAUUGCAAUGCAUGCUCACUGACCCGGAGAGGCAAAGCAGAAUGGUAGGUCUGAAAAUUAAUCUGCAGAAAACUAAAGUAAUUUUUAACAGCCUAGGAAGAGAACAGCAGUUUACGAUAGGUAGCUAGCACUGGAAGUGGUAAGGGAAUACAUCUACUUAGGGCAGGCAGUGACCGCGAGUCCGGAUCAUGAGACCGAAAUAAUCGGAAGGAUAAGAAUAGGCUGGGGUGCGUUUGGCAGGCAUUCUCAGAUCAUGAACAGCAGGUUGCCAUUAUCCCUGAAGAGAAAAGUGUAUAACUGGUGUGUCUUACCAGUGCUCACCUACGGGGCAGAAACCUGGAGGCUUACAAAAAGGGUUCUACUUAAACUGAGGACGACACAUCGAGCUAUGGAAAGAAGAAUGAUGGGUGUAACGUUAAGGGGAUAAGAUGAGAGCAGAUUCGGUGAGGGAACAAACGCGAGUUAAUGAUAUCUUACUUGAAAUCAAGAAAAAUGGGCAUGGGCUGGGCAUGUAAUGAGGAGGGAAGAUAACCGAUGGUCAUUAAGGGUUAUGGACUGGAUUCCAAGAGAGGGGAAGCGUAGCAGGGGGCAGCAGAAAGUUAGGUGGGCGGAUGAGAUUAAGAAGUUUGCAGGGACAGCAUGGCCACAAUUAGCGCAUGACCGGGGUAGUUGCUGUUUAUUCAAGCAUUUUGCAAAUGUGGCUUGCUUCUAAGCACUUCUUCUUAUCUCUAAAGAAAAACAGAAAUGAACAUCCAGUAUUCUUUUUUAACUUUCACUAAGCUUAUCGUAUAGCUCAGUGUUAACAUACAGGUUAACAUACAGUAUUUACAGGUGAGGUUACAGAAAGCAGUAAUAAUUGACAGUAAACACUGCUUGGGUGGUGAAAAACAUGGGAAUCAGGUCAUUUUAUUUUCGACAGUUUUUUUUUUGCAUAGGAGGCUAAGCAAAUGGUGAUGUAGCAACACUGUAAAGACUGAAUAAGAUGGAUGUGGAAUGCCUUGAUGACUUCUUUUUCUGUUUUUUAUUUUGUCUUCGAAAGGAAUUUAUUCUGUCCCAGAUAAGGGAGGCAGCUUUUGCAUCUGCAACAGAACAUUGGUGGAUGUUGUGUGAAGCACUUUCUCCAUGCUUUUUCACUACCUGAGCAAGGUAACUUUCUUGGUGCUUCAUCACGCAAUUUAUACAAUCAACUUCCAUUAAUUCUACCCUCACGAGACUGACGGGUCGAAUUAAGAUGCAAAAACCUGCUGAAGCACCGUUGAUUCAUUUGGCAAUAUGUGCUUGAGUAACACGCCUCUGAAAUGAAUGUGCAUCAAAUUUCUAUUUGUCCACAGUAUAAAACUAAAGUAGAAAUGACUUAACUCCAAACCAAAGUAGAAACCUACGCGUACCUCAUUCUUUAGAAUGCCAGCUGAUUUUCCAAAGCCAGCUUCGCCGUAUUACAGCCAUGAUAUGUGGUAAAGCAUAUGAAUGGUGCAACCACGGUUUUAGUUUCGCAAUCGAUUGCACAGCUAGGCAAUUUUCGUCUCAAUGUCCUUCGAAAACAAAAAGUGUUCGUUAGAAUCAGAUAAGUACCACGAUCGGACAUUGUCAGCUACCGUUACUGCUUGAAAAUCUUUCUCGGGUGGGUCAAAAAUAGGCAUUUGAGAGAGAUGGCAUUUGUUUAACGCAUUCACUGUCCCCUAAGCUCUACUGAGACAUGGGCUGCCACUAAAAGGGGUCAUUAUUGGGGUCUGGUCAAGUUCGCAUUAUCCGGCGAAUGCCAGUUUUAGGAUCGAAAUGAUGAAUGUUUAAUUCCAUAGAAAUGCAUGGGCGUCGGCCAGGUUUGAAUUAACUGAAAAAAUUAAAUUAACCGGAGUCAGAUUAUUGGAAGUUUACUAUACACCCUUUUCUGUUCUCCAAGAAGUUGCCAUUUUAAUAUGUAGUUUUCUUCUAUCAGUGUGGCAAUGGUGCUAAAUUUAGCAUUUGUUUGAAUCAUCCAUUGUUCCAAGGACAAGCUACAAAGUAGGGGCACACUUUGAGACUUGAAACAUUUCCACAUAUAAAGGCAGAGCAUGUUAACAUCUGUACAAUUAACAUAAGUUGGCUGUAUUGUCUGCAUAGCAUGUGGUUGCUUUUUUGGAAUGUGGUCUUUCUGUAAAACAAAGUUGCAUUUGUUUCAAAUAAAUUGCUGAACCAUU